CUAACACAUGCAAGUCGAGCGGUAGCACAGAGAGCUUGCUCUCGGGUGACGAGCGGCGGACGGGUGAGUAAUGUCUGGGAAACUGCCUGAUGGAGGGGGAUAACUACUGGAAACGGUAGCUAAUACCGCAUAAUGUCGCAAGACCAAAGUGGGGGACCUUCGGGCCUCAUGCCAUCAGAUGUGCCCAGAUGGGAUUAGCUAGUAGGUGGGGUAACGGCUCACCUAGGCGACGAUCCCUAGCUGGUCUGAGAGGAUGACCAGCCACACUGGAACUGAGACACGGUCCAGACUCCUACGGGAGGCAGCAGUGGGGAAUAUUGCACAAUGGGCGCAAGCCUGAUGCAGCCAUGCCGCGUGUAUGAAGAAGGCCUUCGGGUUGUAAAGUACUUUCAGCGGGGAGGAAGGCGAUAAGGUUAAUAACCUUGUCGAUUGACGUUACCCGCAGAAGAAGCACCGGCUAACUCCGUGCCAGCAGCCGCGGUAAUACGGAGGGUGCAAGCGUUAAUCGGAAUUACUGGGCGUAAAGCGCACGCAGGCGGUCUGUCAAGUCGGAUGUGAAAUCCCCGGGCUCAACCUGGGAACUGCAUUCGAAACUGGCAGGCUAGAGUCUUGUAGAGGGGGGUAGAAUUCCAGGUGUAGCGGUGAAAUGCGUAGAGAUCUGGAGGAAUACCGGUGGCGAAGGCGGCCCCCUGGACAAAGACUGACGCUCAGGUGCGAAAGCGUGGGGAGCAAACAGGAUUAGAUACCCUGGUAGUCCACGCCGUAAACGAUGUCGAUUUGGAGGUUGUGCCCUUGAGGCGUGGCUUCCGGAGCUAACGCGUUAAAUCGACCGCCUGGGGAGUACGGCCGCAAGGUUAAAACUCAAAUGAAUUGACGGGGGCCCGCACAAGCGGUGGAGCAUGUGGUUUAAUUCGAUGCAACGCGAAGAACCUUACCUGGUCUUGACAUCCACAGAACUUAGCAGAGAUGCUUUGGUGCCUUCGGGAACUGUGAGACAGGUGCUGCAUGGCUGUCGUCAGCUCGUGUUGUGAAAUGUUGGGUUAAGUCCCGCAACGAGCGCAACCCUUAUCCUUUGUUGCCAGCGGUUCGGCCGGGAACUCAAAGGAGACUGCCAGUGAUAAACUGGAGGAAGGUGGGGAUGACGUCAAGUCAUCAUGGCCCUUACGACCAGGGCUACACACGUGCUACAAUGGCAUAUACAAAGAGAAGCGACCUCGCGAGAGCAAGCGGACCUCAUAAAGUAUGUCGUAGUCCGGAUUGGAGUCUGCAACUCGACUCCAUGAAGUCGGAAUCGCUAGUAAUCGUAGAUCAGAAUGCUACGGUGAAUACGUUCCCGGGCCUUGUACACACCGCCCGUCACACCAUGGGAGUGGGUUGCAAAAGAAGUAGGUAGCUUAACCUUCGGGAGGGCGCUUACCACUUU
This 1423-nucleotide ribosomal RNA is filed under the name Klebsiella sp. Its description in RNAcentral is "bacterial SSU rRNA". It matches the Rfam family "Bacterial small subunit ribosomal RNA". The record is from RNAcentral. Lineage: Bacteria; Pseudomonadati; Pseudomonadota; Gammaproteobacteria; Enterobacterales; Enterobacteriaceae.